RNAcentral lists this transfer RNA (66 nucleotides) under Podarcis lilfordi (Lilford's wall lizard). RNAcentral's name for it is "tRNA.Glu". It matches the Rfam family "tRNA". From Rfam's summary of the family: Transfer RNA (tRNA) molecules are approximately 80 nucleotides in length. Their secondary structure includes four short double-helical elements and three loops (D, anti-codon, and T loops). Lineage: Eukaryota; Metazoa; Chordata; Lepidosauria; Squamata; Lacertidae. The record is from RNAcentral.
GAGCUCAGUUGGUAGAGUAGGAGACUCUCAACCUCGGGGUUGUGGGUUUGAGCCCCACAUUGGACA